UGAGGAAUUUUCCACAAUGGAGGCAACUCUGAUGGAGCAACGCCGCGUGCAGGAGGACGGUCCUCGGAUCGUAAACUGCUUUUCUCGGGGAAGAGAGCGGACGGUACCCGAGGAACAAGCCCCGGCUAACUACGUGCCAGCAGCCGCGGUAAUACGUAGGGGGCGAGUGUGGUCCGGAGUUACUGGGCGUAAAGCGCCCGCAGGCGGGGUGGCGCGUUUGCACUGACAGCUGCCAGCUUAACUGGCAGAGGUGUGCAAAAACGGCUGCUCUUCGAGGACCAGAGAGGGACAUGGAACUCCAGGUGUAGUGGUGAAAUGCGUAGAUAUCUGGAAGAACACCAAAGGCGAAGGCAGUGUCCUGGCUGGUACCUGACGCUCGGGGGCGAAAGCUAGGGGAGCGAAC
This 403-nucleotide ribosomal RNA is filed under the name uncultured bacterium. Its description in RNAcentral is "bacterial SSU rRNA". It matches the Rfam family "Bacterial small subunit ribosomal RNA", at positions 355 to 773 of the family's 1533-position model. The record is from RNAcentral.